Molecule: RNA transcript, 2816 nt
Organism: Trachymyrmex cornetzi
Lineage: Eukaryota; Metazoa; Arthropoda; Insecta; Hymenoptera; Formicidae
Gene: Inx2
Gene name: innexin 2
Exons: 3
Source: RefSeq, a predicted model, not a curated record
GCGCGCGCGCGCGUCCGUGUCCUCGCGUGCUUGUGUCGCGUCUCGAGCGCUCAGCGCAGCCAUUACGACAGAGAGCCGCUCGGUGACGCUCGGCUAACCGCUAACGUUGUGUAGUAAGUCGCGAGCGCGACGAUAGCGUGACCACGUUGUUGUUGCACGCGUGAACUGACGCAGUGAAUCUCGCCGACGCCGUCUGCCCUGCCGCGUAGUACGAGCGUGAGCACGUGUGCGCACGCGAGAGACAGAACGAAUUAACGUAAGAGGUCGAUCGGCCGCCGCCGCCGCCGUCGCUGUCGCCACCGAACUUCGAAGGGGGUUGGCGUUACGCGAGUGAGAACGAGGAAGCGCGGAAGCUGCCGAGCGUGACUCCCGAACGCGCACGACACACGGCUGUCGCGUCGUGGAACCUGGAGACCUCUACAAAACGAAUUCGGUUUGUGACUGGACCGGUUGGCGAUCGAACGCGUGUGCGUGAGUACUUAGGGCGAGUGGUCGGAUCACAGUCGAUUGAGAAAAAGGAAAGAGGGCUAACGACGCGCUGCCACCGCCACCAUGUUUGACGUGUUCGGCUCUGUGAAGGGGCUGCUCAAGCUCGACACCGUCUGCAUCGACAACAAUGUGUUUCGAUUGCACUACAAGGCCACCGUGGUCAUACUGAUCAUCUUCUCCCUCCUGGUGACCUCCCGGCAAUAUAUUGGCGACCCGAUCGAUUGUAUCGUCGAUGAAAUCCCGUUGCACGUGAUGGACACCUACUGCUGGAUCUACUCCACCUUCACGAUCCCGGAUCGAACCGGCAUAGUGGGCAAGGACCUGGUGCAACCGGGAGUUGCCGCGCACAUCGAGGGCAAGGAUCAAAUCAAGUAUCAUAAAUACUAUCAGUGGGUCUGCUUUACCCUCUUCUUCCAGGCGAUCCUUUUCUAUGUUCCACGCUACCUCUGGAAAACGUGGGAGGGUGGCAGGAUCAAGAUGCUGGUGCUGGACCUCAAUUGUCCGGUAGUCAGCGAAGAUUGUAAGAGCGACCGACGUAAAUUGCUGGUCGACUAUUUCACCUCGAACCUGCACUCGCAGAACUUCUACGCGUAUCGCUUCUUCCUGUGCGAAUUGUUGAACUUUAUCAACGUGGUCGGCCAGAUCUUUUUCAUAGAUUUCUUCCUGGACGGCGAGUUCACCACGUACGGCUCCGAUGUCAUCAAGUUCACGGAGAUGGAACCUGAGGAACGUAUCGAUCCCAUGUCCAAGGUGUUCCCGAAGGUUACCAAGUGCACAUUCCAUAAAUAUGGUGCGUCUGGCACAGUGCAGAAAUUCGACGGGCUCUGUGUGCUGCCGCUCAAUAUCGUCAACGAGAAGAUCUACGUGUUCCUCUGGUUUUGGUUCAUCAUCUUAUCGAUCCUGAGCGGUCUUAGCCUGCUCUAUCGUGCAGCAGUAGUACUCGGCCCGAAACUACGAAGCGUGCUGCUACGAGCACGCUCGCGUCUCUCGCCACAUGACCAAAUUAAAAUCAUCAGCGACAAGUGUCAGAUCGGCGAUUGGUUUGUCCUGUAUCAACUCGGCAAGAACAUCGAUCCAUUGGUGUACAAGCAACUCGUCGCUGAUCUUGCAACUAAGCUGCAAGGCAAGGAGAAUGUGUAACAUCAAGCGAUCGCGAAGGAUCUCUUCAAGGAACGCUUCCACCCAAGUUCUCCGGAAGGUUCCUCGUCUCUCUCCCCGAGUAAUAACCCUGCUCGACUUAGGGAAGAAGCAAACGGUAGGAUGUCUCUAAAUUGGAGAUGAGAGUAAGAGAUAAAUGUAAAGAAAGAGAGAAAGAGAGAGAAGAGAAAGAGUGAGAGAGGGAGAGCUAUGUAUGAAUGUGUGUGUAUGCAUAAGUGCGUAGAUAUUAAUUAACGCGCGUCUUCGCGUUUCGUCAUUCCAUGCACAAAAAAGAUGCACAGAAAAGACGUGUCCGCGAUUUUAUACGCGAAUACCGGGAAAUUAGAUGAUAGGCCAAGUUACAAUCGACGCGCUAUAUCUCGCGCAUUAGGUCUUUUUUUUUUAUAACGUAAAAUUAAUGUAUAUUUUUGAGGGGACCAAGUUGUAACGUCAUAGAUUAUUCUUCGUCAAUUCCUUUUUAUAAUACGGACUUACAAUGUAUGUAAAAGUGAUGCGUCGAGGGACCAUGUUGUAACGCUACAAGUAUAUUUCUACGAUUUUUCUCUUGUUUUUUUUAAAAUGGUAUAAUAAGACUGGUACCAUGAAUUGGCGAUUAGUAUGGUAAUACCGCAGCGAUGUUUCAACAUAACAUUAAAAAUGUACUGCAUAAGAAAAGAAUUUUUAUAUUAAGUAAUUUAUGCGCAAUGUAAUUACGUGAACGAGGAAGUUUGCUUUUAGUUCACUCGUCCAUCGACAUCACAUGUGUUUCAAGUGAUAGUUUAGAAUUUAGAUAUUUUUCAAUACGUAUAAGAGGUAAAUGAAAAAAAAAAGGAGAGCACUACCUUUUACCAUUUGUAUAUUCUACACAUAAAUUGCGAGCGCGAACAUCAGUUACUUUAAUGUCCCACUGACGUGUUCACGUGGAAUACCUAAUAUCGCAUUACUAUCCGAACCGAGUACUCCGACUCGCUUGUACUAUUCGACAGAGAUUGAAACGUGACUACCCGCGGUGCCGUAUCAGCGAUACUUUCUGCUUCGUCAGUUGUGCGAGCGUGGAAAAAUUAAUGGUUGAUUUGAUGGCGCUCGAGACGAUUGUUCAAGUAUUAUCAAGAUAACGGCAUCGAGAUAAUGAUAAAGGAUUUAAGCGUGCAGGAUACGAAUAUUAAGUGGAAAAAAUGGUUUUGCUGAAG